UGAAUGACUUAUUACACCUUUUGUUGGCAUGUUCACAUCAUGUUUCCUUGCACAAGAUGUUCGGCAUAGUUACUACCCCCUUGACAUCUCCAAUCUCAAUCUCAAGCUCAAUUGUUGAGUCACUCUCCUCACCACCUUGGGAAACAAGGCCGUAACUCUAAACUUGGAUACUGCUCAUUCUUGAGGGUUUUUUUUUUUAAGUUUGAAUUCAACAUUGAGUACAUGUGUGAGGCCAUAGUUUCUGAGGAGUGGGAGUAGAGAAUAACUAUCAUCUUAUCAAAUUAUAAAUAGAAGAGUUGCAUGGAGUGGAAGCAACCCUGGGUGUGUCUUGUAUGCGGGCACCCAAGAACCUAUCACUGAAAGGUCAAUUACAUUUAUUUGAAGAAAACUCCCUUUUUUUUCUUUGUUUGCCACUACCCAACAAGGAGAACUUGUUCCAUACAGCAUCCAUAUAUUAAAAGUGUCUUCAUACUAAAGGUCUGGUCAGCCAUGCUCAUAGCACAACAACAAUGAUCAUGGCUUACAUAUAUUGGCCACCCUAUCACACAACCCUGGUGAUAAACAAAAUUCCCAAUUUAAAGUAGGUAAUGACACAUACUGAUUGUAUAAUGACCUUAAUAAUUGCUUACAAUGUGUGUGUGUGUGUAUAUAUAUAUAUAUAUAUAUAUAUAUAUAAAUAAAAAUAAAAUAAAUGAACAAAAUUGACACUGGAAGAAAUCUUCUCUCUGCUACAGUUGUUAACACAGUGGAGGGAGGGAGGGUGUGUGUGUGUGUGUUGCCAAGCAUGUUGGCAGGCAGUCAAGUAAUAGUCAAAUAUUGUUUGGCCAGUAUCAAAAUCUAUUGACCAGCCAGCAGAUACAAAAAGAUUGUAUCAGUCACUCCAGAAUUGUCAUCACUGUCUCUUCACACAUAUGCACUAUCACCCCUAUAGAUAUAUAUAUAUAUAUAUAUAUGUAAAGUCUGAUGUGAAUUGAUCAUAUUCUCACUCACCAAUCAGUACAUCCUGAGAAAAAUCAGUUUACGCAUAAUAUUAAGGACAGGUGCUCAUGUGUAUGCACUGCCCCAACCAACUUGGAGUUCAAGCCAUCUGCACACCCAAUCAAUUUAAGAGGAUAACAACCUUAACUGGGCUUUCCACAUGUAGUCCUUGUUGGUUUAUUAUCACAGGCAGGUGUGAAGAUUAAUUCUUCCAGGGCUUGAAUCUACAGUAAAUUGGAUCUUGACCACAAGGACACAUGACAUAAAACACAUUGCAGCCAUACCUGGAAAUUGUAGAGCAACAUGGUUGACGUAACAAUUGGAAAUAUUUUGUCCCACAAAUAUUCAAACUGUAGCUGAAACAUUCAUGGGAUGAGAAUCUCAAAGAUGAACAAUUAUUGAAAGUCUUUUGAGUGACAAAGACUGUCUUCAAACCAUCACAUUCUCAAGAUACAGAAUUGUUUAUGACUUUUAGUCUGAGAUCACUGGAAGCCCUAACCCUAAACCAUGUUACACUAAAUUGUAUAUGCUCAGAGAGCAGCAGUUAAAGAGGGGAAUCGGCAGGGAAUCCUAUGAAUAGACAGGAAGCAGAAUGAAUUUAUGGGGGAGAAUUGCUUUGGCUGCUGAGGGCAAUGGCCUCACAGCAUUGGGUUGGUAAUAAACUCCACAUUCUGCUCGAAGGCUGCUCAUUAAAUGCUACUCCCCUCCUCCAUUGCUUGUGCCACCCUGUCCCACUUCUUCUCAUUGGGGAAUGAGAGAGAACAGUUUGCCAUGUGCACUAACAUGUGUGGGAACCAUUUUAAUCCAGAAGAUGAAGAAAAUAUUAUAGAUUUCAUUGGGUGGAGGACCAUUUAGAUGGUUGUUGUUGGGUACCAUUCAAAGUGCAGUAUUGUGAAUGCUUUUGGAACAACAAUCCUGUCUCACUCUCUCCAUACAAAACUAUGGCAUUUAUGCAAAAUUACAUGCUCAAAACCUUAGCUGUCUGUAAGUGUCUUAUUUUAUUGCUGUUCAUUGUUUGUGAUAAUCUGGAUUAAAGAUACAUUCCUCUUGAUUAUUUGAUUCCAUACUUAUUUUCACUUGAUGUAAGGGCUUUUGAGAAAAUGCUAUGAUGUGUUUUUUCAUGAAAAAGUAGCAUGUUCAUAAAACUUUUAACUUAUCUUUCUUAAUAUCAAUGUUAUCCUACAUUACAGUGUUUUUGGUUCAUACAUAUAUAUAUAUAUACAUACCCAUAUUGAUAGAUGUCAAAGUUGGUUGCUAGAUUUUAUUGCAAUCAUGUUUAGUGAAACAAACAUGUAACUUUUUUUCAUAAAUUCUUAAACAUGAAAGAUAUAACAUAGAAGUAAGUUUUGCAUAUGA
This 2334-nucleotide long non-coding RNA is filed under the name Physcomitrium patens. RNAcentral's name for it is "long non-coding RNA (PPAT_LNC002156)". The record is from RNAcentral. Lineage: Eukaryota; Viridiplantae; Streptophyta; Bryopsida; Funariales; Funariaceae.